Molecule: ribosomal RNA, 559 nt
Filed under: Streptomyces sp. 434E08
Lineage: Bacteria; Bacillati; Actinomycetota; Actinomycetes; Kitasatosporales; Streptomycetaceae
Description: bacterial SSU rRNA
Rfam family: Bacterial small subunit ribosomal RNA
Source: RNAcentral
UAGUGGCGAACGGGUGAGUAACACGUGGGCAAUCUGCCCUGCACUCUGGGACAAGCCCUGGAAACGGGGUCUAAUACCGGAUACGAGUCUCCAAGGCAUCUUGGGGACUGUAAAGCUCCGGCGGUGCAGGAUGAGCCCGCGGCCUAUCAGCUUGUUGGUGAGGUAGUGGCUCACCAAGGCGACGACGGGUAGCCGGCCUGAGAGGGCGACCGGCCACACUGGGACUGAGACACGGCCCAGACUCCUACGGGAGGCAGCAGUGGGGAAUAUUGCACAAUGGGCGAAAGCCUGAUGCAGCGACGCCGCGUGAGGGAUGACGGCCUUCGGGUUGUAAACCUCUUUCAGCAGGGAAGAAGCGAAAGUGACGGUACCUGCAGAAGAAGCGCCGGCUAACUACGUGCCAGCAGCCGCGGUAAUACGUAGGGCGCAAGCGUUGUCCGGAAUUAUUGGGCGUAAAGAGCUCGUAGGCGGCUUGUCACGUCGGUUGUGAAAGCCCGGGGCUUAACCCCGGGUCUGCAGUCGAUACGGGCAGGCUAGAGUUCGGUAGGGGAGAUCGGAA